Molecule: RNA transcript, 3436 nt
Organism: Vigna radiata var. radiata (mung bean)
Lineage: Eukaryota; Viridiplantae; Streptophyta; Magnoliopsida; Fabales; Fabaceae
Exons: 6
Source: RefSeq, a predicted model, not a curated record
UAGUUUAGGUGAGGAAUAGUGAGGUGGCAAAUGGGAAGGAGAGAAAGGGGUGAGUGAGAAAGAGAAAGAGAGAAAGAGAGAAAGAGAAAGAGACGUUGAUCGCAUCAUCGAUAUCAGAGUGUGAUUGUGAUUGGGUCGAGAAACAGAGGGAAUCGAUUGGCAGUUGAAGCGGUGGGAGGGUAAUGAUCGAUACAUGUGUGUAUGAAUUCAUCCGAGUGAUACAAGUGAGCGAGUGAAAGUGGUCACGGCGGCGUGGUGUUCAGGACCGGUGGAUCAGAAGGGAAGGGAAAGGAAAGGAUGGGUCGGAAUCAGAGGGAGAGGGAGGAGGGAGACAAGCACGCGGGGCUCCUCAAAUUGGCCCAAAUCCUCACAUACCUCGUCGUCUUUGCGGGGGGAGUCGUCAUGGGUCUCACCACCAGCUCUCACAUCCACAACACCAAUUUCAUAUCUCAGCCCUACCGCAACCCUCAUCACCCUAACAAUUAUAUCCCUAUUUCCAACUGUUCUUCUUCCGCAGCCUCACCACCACCACCACCGCCUUCUUCCCCUCCUCCUCCUCCUCCGCCUCUCGACAUGGGGGAGUUCCUUCAUCCGCCCAACCUCACUCAUACUCUGUCGGACGAUGAGCUGUUCUGGAGGGCUUCCUUGAUGCCGAAGAAAGAAGGGUACCCUUUCCGCAGAAUCCCGAAGGUGGCUUUCAUGUUUCUGACCAGGGGUCCCCUUCCCAUGUUGCCCCUCUGGGAGAGAUUCUUCAACGGCCACGCCCCUCUCUUCAGCAUCUACGUCCACGCGCCUCCGCGAUUCCAUCUCAACGUCUCCGAGUCUUCCCCUUUCUACGGGCGCCAAAUCCCCAGCCAGGAUGUUUCGUGGGGCACCGUGACGCUGGCAGAUGCUGAGAGACGGCUUUUGGCAAAUGCUCUGUUGGACUUCUCCAAUGAGCGGUUUGUUCUCCUUUCCGAGAGCUGCAUCCCAAUCUACAACUUCCCCACUGUCUACCGAUAUCUCACAGACUCCGCCCACAGUUUUGUUGAAUCCUACGAUGAUCCCACCCGCUAUGGCCGCGGUCGCUACAGUCGCAGUAUGCUUCCUCAUAUUCAACUUCGACACUGGCGUAAAGGCUCUCAGUGGUUUGAACUCAAUCGUCUUCUUGCUGUGUAUAUAAUCUCUGACACCCAAUAUUUUUCCCUCUUCCGAAAAUAUUGUAAGCCUGCCUGCUACCCGGAUGAGCAUUACAUUCCAACCUUCUUGAACAUGUUUCAUGGUCCUCUUAAUUCCAACCGUACCAUCACAUGGGUUGACUGGUCAAUGCUGGGUCCUCAUCCUGCAAGCUUUGGGAGAGCCAAUAUAACUGCCGAUUUUAUUCAGGCUUUAAGGAACAACGGUUCCCUCUGUCGAUAUAAUUCCGAGAUGACUUCCAUUUGUUACCUCUUUGCCCGCAAGUUUGAUCCCAGUGCACUCGAGCCCUUGCUAAACCUUUCUUCUCAGAGUGGAUGUAUUCUUCAAAUAGAUGUAGUUGAGCCUUCAUUAUGCUACUUCAUGUUAACACAAAUAUAUUUUGAAAAUUAUACAGAUGAAGAGAUUGAUCGCUGCUUUGAAGAAUUUUAUGAGGAUGUCCACACAGAACUCUUGAAGUUUGGGGAAAUUGUGAACUUCAAGGUUCUUUUUUACUGCUGGUUGAUGAUGGUAUUCACCUCUCUUCCAUUGAAUUGGAGAUUUCAACUUUAAAUGAAAGCUUAAUUUUCCCACUAACUUGAGCACAUUCUUUCUCACCAACACCCAUCUUUUUCGAGCAACAGUUUGCAGCUACGCAUGAGUUUUGUCAGUGUAGCACUGUUCUGUUUUUCCUGUCCAUUCCUUUUCCCAGUAUGACUAUCAGGGUUAGCCAUCAACCAUUUUUGGGCCUAGAAAACCCAAACCAAAAUAACCUAAGGACACAAGUUUUUUUCUUGUCUUUGCCCACUCAAUUUAUCGGGUUAUCUGUGGUUCUGGGUGCUAGAAUAAGUAUUAAAUUUGGGUAGAAAGUAGUUGUGUUUGGAACUACUAUCUGUUGUACCUAUAAGUCGUACCUAGGUUUCUAGUUCAGUCUUUUGAUCUUCCAUCUUCUCAUUAUAUCAAUCUUUUAUCAUUAUAAGUAUGAGAUAUAAGAGGGGUCUUUUAAGCCCUCUAAAAUAUAUUUUCUCUCUUAUUAAUCUUAAGUUAGUAUUAAAGCGAGUCAAUAUCGCUGUAUUGGUCUCAGUCUUCUUGGGUGUCUUUUUCAUUGUCAUCUAUUGUUGUUGUCUACUGCCAAAAUUUUCUUCAGCAACCAUUGGAACUAGAGCGUCUAUCCAAGCAACGGCCAACCCCAUCAGUCCCUAAGCCUAUCUCUACUCCGUGCGCCUCCAAACACGCACUUUCUCCUCCCUACUGUUGGGUGCGUCCGCAUGCCACCUUCCUUUCACCAGAGCAACGUUGCGACUCCUGGUUAGGGCACGCCAGACCUCCUCAGUGUUGUUUUGGUCCCUGACCGUCCUUUUGUUCUCUGACUUGGUUAAUGGGUUUGCUAAGGUUUUCUUAUUGGCUAGUUCUUUGUCCCUGUUAGUUUCCUCAAACUGUGAUUGAAAUGUCUACUGGACCUACUAUUUCCUCUGGAAUUCCUUCCAUUACCGCUUGGAAACUAAAUGGAAAAAUGUAUAUGUCGUGGUUUGCCUUUGUUGAAAUGUGGUUGGUUGGCCAAGGUUACCAUGACUACCUUGAACAAGAUGGAGGUAAUGUGCCUUUUGAGCAAGCUGAACCAUGGAAGUGAAUUGAAUUUCAGCGGUGCGUUUCUGUGACAGUCUGCAGAACCUCAAUUAUUGGGUACCACUGUAGAAGGUCAAGAUCCAGAGAGAUGGAUCAGAUAAGUUGUGGUCAUUUGUAGAAGAAAACAUGAAAAUGAAAGAAAGCAAAGAACUCCCUAUGAGGAUCUGAAUGCUAGCUUAAAAAACACUCAAAAGAAAAUCCAGAAUCAGAACUCCUGAUAAUGAUUCUGACAGAAUGGUAGAAAAGGAGGAAAUUAGGGAAAGACGCCAUGAAUACACUAGGAAUGGCUCAUUUAACAAGAACAGGGAUGAAAAUAGCAGAAGCCAUGAAGAAGAUUGGAUUGUGAUACUAGGGACAAUAAAAAACAACAUGGAAGAAACCCAAGAAAGUGCCACAAAGACAUCAGGGUCUGGAUUAAUGAGGCUGCUGGUUUGGAUGGGGACAGAGAUGUGAGAAGGCGCUGUAGUAGGGAAAGCUCGGGACAUCAGAGUGGUGAUGCUUCUGAAUCCGACAAAGAUUUGUUUGUCAGAUUCCCAUUUUUUUUUCAAUGAAGUUUAGUGUAUUUUAUUUUUCAAUUUCUUUCCGUAUUUAUUCUUUUUUUUUCCUAAACCUUCCGCUUUUUCUGUUGAUAAUAUAUCUACGACUUUGAUUUGAUGCA